This 577-nucleotide unclassified non-coding RNA is filed under the name Hevea brasiliensis (rubber tree). Lineage: Eukaryota; Viridiplantae; Streptophyta; Magnoliopsida; Malpighiales; Euphorbiaceae. The record is from RNAcentral.
AGACUAACUAGAGUUAGGAACAAACAACAAACUAAUUCACAACACUCAGGAAAGAAGGGUAUUAUGUCUAAGGAUGUUAACCAGGGGAUAACUCAGUUAUCGAUGCCUCAUUAUGUGAUGAACUAAUAGAUUUACUUUUGGCUAAUUCUCUAGGUCCUGAUGAUCUUGAAUUGUAUUCUUGAGUAAGUGAGAUCCCUGAAGUAAUAUCGUUGUGUGUAUAGUAUGCAGGCCCUGAAGGCAGGGGAAGAUUCAAGGAUAGGCUACUGAGCAUGAGAACUACUGCAGCCAUAGUUGGUCUAUCGCCAAUAUUUUCUUGAACGCACAAUAAGGCAAUGUGGACGUAUCUCUUGAUGUCACGGACCAGUCCUGAACUUCCCCUAAACAUGGGGUCAAUCAAAUUUGCAGCUGUUCCUUCUUGCCAAUUCGUCCAUGCAUAGCUUAAAAGGUCUUCCACAGAUUCUCCAUUUCUGAAACAAGUGUUCUUAUGUCCACUUAAAAUUUCUAGGACUAGUACUCCAAAGCUAAAAACAUCGGACUUGACUGAAAAUUGUCCAUGCAUUGCAUACUCUGGUGCCAU